RNAcentral lists this long non-coding RNA (18418 nucleotides) under Zea mays. Its description in RNAcentral is "long non-coding RNA (ZMAY_LNC005168)". Lineage: Eukaryota; Viridiplantae; Streptophyta; Magnoliopsida; Poales; Poaceae. The record is from RNAcentral.
CUAGGGACCAAAACGCGGGUGGUGGAACACGUACUUAAAAAUGGUCGCUCGACCAUGAAAACGUGUGCUAUAGCUUACGGGAGGCCAUAAACAGCCUUAGCAGUCUCAAUGGCCAAAUCAUGGUUGGCGGACGGGAGGCAUGAAAUCGUUGUUUGACGAUGAAAACAUGUGUCACGGGAGGCCAAAAAUAGACUUACCGGCCUCCGGGGACCAAAAUGUGUACUAUGGUUUGGACACUAAAAUUCCACUAUGUCAGCAAAGUUGAUAUGGUUAGGAGACUCAAAUUUCAUUUUACUAUGGUUUCGACACUAAAAUCCUUUAGUGUCGAUGUUUAGGUUUAUGUAACACCCCUGGUGUUACUAUAACUAAAAUCUGAGCAUGGCAUCAUAAGCAUUGGCAUUGCAUAGUUUUGAUACACCUAGAGUGCAUUUACUAGGUAAAAAUUUCAAACAAGUUGUAUUGUUUUGGUGUUUUGCAAACCCUGGAUAGGGAACUUAACCCUAAUUAGGGAUUAAAGGGGUAAAACUUAAUCCAAGUUGAGAAAACCUAAAAGCCUUUGGGGAAUAGUCAUAAAAUAUCCCCAAAAAUAAAGUUGAAUCACAUUUAUACCCCUGGGAUGCCAGAAACCCUAAUUGGAACCCUGGAAAACCCUAAAUCCAAACCCUAGGAACCUAUGUGCAAAAUUAGUCCACUUUUGGACUAAAGUGCAAAAACCAAGUUAAAUAAGUGUCUUAAGUCAUUUGGUUCACAAAUGUGUGGAUUUGUAAGCUAAUUCUUGGAUUUUGGGCUUAUUUGCAAAAUGGACCUCAUUUGAGUUCUAUGCUAAGUCUGAAAUCAGAGAUUUGGCUCAACUUUGGAGCUUUAUAGCUUUCAAAUCAUUAAAAGUUUGCCCUAGGUCACCACAUCAAAAUUAUAGCCCAAUUAUAGGUGAACAACUUUGCUUAAGAGUGUGAGCAUUGUUGUUAAGAAAAUAUUGGAGAUAAUCAGGCCUGAAAUCAAGCUGUCAGGCUGAUUCAGUCUGAAAUUCAGAUGUUCCGUGCAAAAACACAACUUUGAGUAUGAAUUCAACCUUGAUCUAGUGCUCAAAUGAGUUCAAGCCCUAUAGUCGAAUUAUUGCUGGUUUAUAGCUCUACAAUUUUGCUGCAGAGCUUGGGAGGAGUUGUCAUUGGAAAUUGAGAGUAAAUCAUGCUCCAAGUUGCUCUGUCAGGUUGUCUGAUGGAGCACUCGCCAUGGUACAGUGCUACCAGGGAGAUCAGAUCGCCAGCGCAGCUGUUAUCACCGCCGGUGACCUGCCGCCGUGAUUCGUGCCAUUGCCGUCGCAUUUUGUGCUCGGCUGGGUUAGAUAACGCUUCAGGUAGAAAGAUCUUCGCCGCCGUCAAGCUGGAAGCCACCCCGGUCAGCCGCGGUACUCCUCCCCUGGCUCACCGCCUGCGGGUAAAGUUGCUCACCGUCAUCGUGCCAUCGCCGUUGGCCACCGCGUGUCCUAACCGUGCCAUCGCAUCGCCGUGACUCCCUCUAAACUCCCCGUCGACCACCGGAGUUACUGCCACGGUGGUGAACACGUGUUCACUGCACCAGCAUUCUUCCUCACUUCCGACCGACGUGUGUCUCGUCCAAAAUUCGCGGCCAUCGCUCGCUCCACCUAUAAAUUGAGCCCUCCCCUAGCUGCGUAACAUCCUCACCCACCCAGCCACCAACAAUCGUUAGCAACCGUGCCUCCGAGAGCUUGAAUUUUGGUUUCUCCCCAAUCCGGGUUUCCGCCACCGCAAAACUCACAUCACCGCGGUCAGCCCCAAUCCGGUUAGUUCAUCUCUCUCUCUCCCUUGUUUGAGCACUCUGGUUGCUCUGUGAUGCUUGCCGAGCCAUCAAUUGAAACUAAGAGACCACCAAUCGCCGGGAACACGACGAUCUAGCCGCCAUGCUCUCUGUCACCGUGGCCAGAGCUCCUUAGUUGGUCAUUAGUGCAAUUAAGUUAGGGGAAAUACUCUUUAGGUCACGGAUUUGGUUUAGACCGAAGACUAGCGCCGGUCUUGUUCCCCUCCGGCCGGUCUGCGUGCUCGCCGGAGUUCAUCCUCCGCGCGACGCCGUCGGGGACCUCCCACUGCGAAGAAACAGAAACCGGGGGUCUCUUUUGCAAGUUGUCAGUGGCUCUGUUAAACAGUGAAAGAACUCGUUCGCUGUUAGACAAAAACGCAAGGACCGUUCUGCAAAACCGCCAGCGCGGGCGCGGGCGCGCGCACGCUUCUGCGUGGAGUUGGGCCGCUUAAGCCAGUUUGAGCCUAAUACUGUUGAGUCUUUUCCUUUUUCUUUUUCAAAAUAACUUUAGAAAUCCAUGGAAAAAUGUAGAAAAAUCCUGAAAUUGUGAAACUAAUUUUCCUAGAUUUCUUAUUUUCCCUAGAAUUUAAUAAAAAUAGUUUCAUGAUUUUUAGUUUAAACAGGGAAUUUUAGGGCAUUUAAAAUAGCUUAAAGAAAUAGUUCUGGAAUUUUAGAGAAUUAAUAGUAAUGCCAAAAAUGUUCAAAAUUUUUAUAUGAACUCCCCACAUUAUUUAGAAGCCUUGGGUAAAGUUUGAAUUGAUUUGGACCAUGUUUGAUAACUAGAAUCCAAAACCCCCCUGCUCUAUGAACUCCUUUACACACUCCGGAAACCCUAAGUUCUCGGAGUUCCAUGAAGGAAAGUUGUAUUCAAGAUUUAGAUAAUAAAUCUUAUUAUCUUCGCACUCUCAUGAGCAUUACAUGUCAUUCAUUCUUAUAUAUGUAUAUAUAUGGUUAUGUUAGAACGUGAAGAAGAAGUGGAAGUCACUGAAGAAAGGACACCACCACCCUCGCAUUCUCAAGCAGGAAACUGCUUCUACUUUGAUAUUUGUGGAUCCGAGCCAAACUCACCUACGAACGAAGGCAAGCCCCGGUGCAUGCAACCCUUUCCUUGUGUUUUUAAAUAACUUUCGCACACUUUAAGUCUAGUGAAAUGUGCAUUAGGUUUAUAGGAAUUGCUUGAAACCCUUUGAUGCAUUACUUUCCUUGAUAUCCAUACCUUUAUAGAUACUUCUGUGAAGUAUCAAAAUAUGAUUUACAAAAAUGCUUAGCCUUGCUUAGAUCUUGUGGAUAGAGGUUAUCCUUAGCCUAGCUCGAGAAAGGAUGGCUUCUACCUGUAAGAAUAUUUUCAUUUGGAGCAAUGGUGGGAUCUUACUGCAAAGUUCCCUGUGAUGCUCUUUCAUCCUAAGGAACAGAAACAAUCCUAAGGAUGGGAAAUACUUAAAUUGAGACUUGGGUUAGGAACAUGUGAUGUUCUACCCAGGUUGAUUAAGGAGUGAACGUGUAUGUAGGCGUGCUGAUCGAGGACCCUUUAACUGGUCACAUGCCUCUUCAUGGGUAAGCCUUGCCUCGGGCAGACUAAGGCCAGAAUAAGAUAACACGAAAUGGGCGUGGAGUGGUGGCGAGAGUAGCGUGUACCCUCCGUGGCAAGAGGCUGGACGGUGGUGUAUCUGUGCUCUCGGUUUGCGUGAACCUGAUCUGGUCUUAAGAACCCCGGUGGCGGGUUGACAUAUGCAAGGGUUAAGUGCUACAUAUGUCGUGUGAUUGGAGAUACUCAGCUGAGUAUAAUCGAUUUGGAUCGCCGUACCUUCGCGGUUAUGAAGACUUGGUCACUUCCCUACAACCUAAGUCAGGAUGUGAACAUUAUGGAUAAAAAUGAUGUUGUAUUGAAGAGAUGAUGAAAUUAGACUAGAUGCAAACAGAGUCUAUUAAUAUUUAAUCUGGCGCUAAAAUAUUGAAAGUAAGGACUCACUUUAGUAAGCUAUUUCUGCAAAAGUAUCGAAGUUGAUUCUUGCUAAAGCCUCUCCUUGAUUCCUAUUUAUCCAGCAUACCCUUGAGAGUCUUUUCUUUAGUCGGGUAAGACUUGCUGAGUAAUUCCAUACUCAGGGUUUAUCCCUUCAUUGUUUUUAGGUGAGGAAGUAGCAGAUUUCUGUUGCUUCUGUACCAAGGUGGUUCCUAAGGAGGAGAAACAAGACUGAAGUGCGGGAGGACUUGGUCCUCCAUAUAGAACUUUUGUUUAAAACUAUCGGGAGGAGUUUUUACCUCCCUUGGUAUGUGUAAUAGUACUACUCAGCACUCGUUUUAUAUUUCUGGUCUGUAAUAAACAACUUGAGCUUACUUUUUAAAUAAAUGUAAGUUAUGUAAUCGCUUCCGCAUUUCUUUAUCUCCGAUGUUCUGUAAUGUCUGCAAGACGGGUGAAACGUUCCUGGUAAGGUAAGAAAGAAGAUACCGAACUUAUCAAGUAGUUCAGGGGCACCUACAGGGUGUCUGAGGUUCGUUGGACAAGGACAACUGUAGGUGGGCCUAAUUACUUGGGAGGUUCCGUCACAGCUGGUAUCGGAGCGUAACCCUUCUUUGCAGAUAUUAUGAGGCAUCUUCAAAAGGAUUUUCUAAAAAGUCUUACCUAGAAACUCUCUUCUCUUCUUACCUAAGUAUUCAGAAGAGUCUAUCUUAAAGACCUGAUAGGAAGAGUGCAAUGUAUAGAAGGUUGAAUCAACUAAGGUUGAUUCUGUACUUACACAUGCAUCAUGCUAAGAAUUAUACUAAUAAAAUUUUCCCCCUUAGAAAGAUGCCGCCGCGCACAAGGAAAACGGCGAGCAAGUCAACUGGACCAAUCGGUGUGCCCCGACAUCAACUGGCCCCUCGACAUGAGGACAGUAGCAGCGGGAGCAAUGAUCCAAUAGGGGAUCUUGAAGCACGAGUAAAUUGACUUCAAGCGGAAUUGCAACACAGGACCAAUAUAUGGGUUGCGGAUGGAGAUAGAAUAAAUGAAUUAAGAAGGGACAUCCGCCACCUGCGGGAUCAGCUUACUGAUCGGGACUUGGCGCUCGACUAGGCAGUUCAGUCCCGUUUGCUGGCAUGUGCUAAGGAAGCAAGGGCUCAAGCUCGAAUCAAGGAACUUAGCUCAGCUGUCGACGACCUGCAGGUCUAUUGCAAUACUUUACAUGAGGAAGUCCAUGUACUGUAUUCGCAAUUACACCCUAGUGCACCUGCGCACCCUGUUGAGGCGGAAGCCGGACCCUCCCAUGUUGCGGGACACGCGCUUGGUGGUGAGUUCGACCUUUUUGAGCCCCCUCCUUCCAUGAGGCUGGUCGACAUAUGGUCUUCCACACCCGAUGACGAGGCCGCCAAAAGCAACGGGAAGCAGGACUAAUGGUGUAGUAGAAGUAGAAGUAGUAUAGUGUAUUGUAGGUUGUACUAGUGUAUAAUAGGUAGUGCUAUUGUAUACUAGGUAAUGUAUACUGUUGUAAGAGUCUUGAGUCUGUAACAUUACUUUUGGUAAUGUAAAAUGGAAUGGCUUUUUCUUUGGCAUAUCAUAUUGUUUCCAAAUGUUGUUGCCACAGAUGCCUUCCAAGACUCGAGCUCAGGACGGAGCUGGUACCUCCCGGGGGAGGGAAUCUACACCCAAUCCACCUCCUGUUCCUCCCACACUGGCUGAGGCGAUUGCCGCCUUAGUGAACGCAACUGCUGACAAUACCCGCUUUCUGAGAGAAAUGGCGGGCCAACAGUUCCAGCAGCCUGGUGGGCGGGGCUAUCAACAGGGACCCCGCGAAACUUCUUAUCUGGACUUCUCGGAGACACGUCCGCCCUUGUUUGUGAAAGCUAAAGAUCCAUGGAAGCCGAUGAAUGGCUUCGAGUGAUUGAACAAAAAUUCGGACUGCUGCGCUGUUCAGAAAUUCAGAAGCCUUUAUUCGCAGCUCAGCAACUGCGCGGACCUGCCAGUACUUGGUGGGGUAAUUUUGUGGCCAUUCAACCGGCCAAUCAUCAAAUAACCUGGGAAGAAUUCAAAAUAGCCUUCCGCGAGCAUUAUAUACCCGAAGGUGUUCUGCAUAUGAAGCAAGAAGAGUUCAUGAAGCUAAAACAAGGAGGAGAUACUGUCAAUCAGUAUCUCAACAAGUUUAAUCACCUGUCGCAAUACGCAAUCGAUCAGGUGAACACUGAUCUGAAAAAGAAAAAUUGCUUUAUGAGGGGUCUAAAUGAUCGAUUGCAGAGAAAAAUGGCCACCUGCAUAGAUCUCACGUAUGGAAAGGCUGUUAGCACAGCCCUAUCUGUUGAAGCAAAAUAUACAGGUUCCGGAAAGAACAAGGGAUUUGGUGGUGAAAAGUCUAAUCAGGGCCAGGCAAAAAGGCAACGGUUUGUGAUCCGGCCUUCUAGCCAAAAUCGCUCUUUUUCUCGUCCACCCUCAUUCCCUUUCAAGCAGCCAAUAAUUAUUCGUCCCAAUAAUGCCCCCACUGCCCCAAGUCAGCCGGGUGUCCUAGGCACUCGAUUCCCUGCUUUGCCCAGCUCUUCAACCGGAUGUUUCAAUUGUGGCAAGUCUGGGCAUUUCAUCAAAGAUUGCCCCUAUCCCAAGCAGAAUCAGUCGAAUAAUCAGCAAGGAUCUGGGAAAUCAGCUCAGCCCAAGGGAAACAAUGUGGGGAAGAAUACAAAGAAGACGGGGCGGAUAUACUAUACUCAAGUGGCCACUACACCGGAAGGUGAACCGGUGAUGAUGGGUACGUUUCUCGUGGCCAGUCACCCUGCAAUUAUUCUUUUUGAUUCUGGUGCUUCGCAUACAUUUAUUAGCAAGAAAUUUGUGGAGCAACAUCACAUUGCAUGCCAUGAAUCAAAAGAGGGAUUUAAAAUACACUCACCUGGGGGACAAAUCUUUACUAGAGAAGUGGCCUAUCAAGUGCCCGUAUCAUUGGCCGGACGGAACUUUCCUACCAAUAUGAUCGUCCUGAAAGGCCAAGACAUAGAUGUUAUUUUGGGUAUGAAUUGGUUGGCCAAGCAUAAAGCAACACUCAAUACUGAUCAAAGAACCAUCAGGUUGAGUCGUAAUCAAGAAGAAAUUCUUUUGCCCAUCCCUAUUCCAAACAAAAUUACUGGCAGAGUUUACGAAGUCAUGGUACCAGAAAUCAAGGAUAUCCCGGUAGUAUGCGAGUUCCCUGAUGUCUUUCCCGAGGAUUUGCCGGGAUUGCCACCUGAGCGGGAGGUAGAGUUUGUAAUAGAGUUGAAGCCCGGUACGGCUCCCAUUUCUCGAAGAUCAUACCGAAUGCCUCCUAAUGAGUUGGCAGAAUUGAAGAUUCAAUUACAAGAUCUCCUGGAGAAAGGAUUCAUCCGGCCAAGCUCAUCGCCAUGGGGUUGUCCAUCCAUAUUCGUCAAAAAGAAGGAUCAAACCUUACGAAUGUGUGUGGAUUAUCGACCCUUGAAUGAGGUCACCAUAAAAAACAAGUACCCUCUUCCAAGGAUUGACAUUCUAUUUGAUCAACUGACUGGAGCAAGGGUAUUUUCAAAGAUUGAUCUCCGAUCGGGCUAUCACCAGAUCCAUAUUCGGCCCGAAGAUAUACCAAAGACCGCGUUCACUACGCGGUAUGGGUUGUUUGAAUAUCUGGUAAUGUCUUUCGGGUUAACCAAUGCUCCGGCCCACUUCACUUAUUUGAUGAACUCGGUGUUCAUGCCCGAGCUAGACAAGUUUGUGGUGGUCUUCAUUGAUGACAUUUUGAUAUAUUCCAAGAAUGAAGAGGAGCACGCCCAACAUUUACGGAUCGUGUUAACGCGCCUGAGGGAACAUCAGUUGUAUGCCAAGUUCAGCAAAUGCGCGUUUUGGCUGGAGGAAAUUCAAUUUCUGGGACAUGUUCUAUCUGCCAGAGGGAUUGCGGUAGACCCCAGCAAAGUCAAGGACAUUUUGGAGUGGAAACCCUCGACCACUGUUCAUCAAGUCCGAAGUUUCCUUGGACUGGCGGGAUAUUACCGCAGAUUUAUACCAGACUUUUCAAAGCUUGUGAAACCAAUCACAAGUUUAUUGAAGAAUGAUGUUAAAUUCAAUUGGUCUUCAAAGUGUGAUGAAGCAUUUGAACAAUUGAAGACAUUUUUAACCACUGCUCCGGUAUUGGCUCAACCGGACAUGACCAAGCCUUUUGAUGUAUAUUGUGAUGCAUCUGGCAGUGGACUCGGCUGUGUAUUAAUGCAAGAGGGCUGAGUAAUUGCAUAUGCUUCAAGGCAGUUGCGCCGACAUGAGGAGCAUUACCCAACUCAUGAUCUGGAGCUAGCUGCUGUGGUUCAUGCCCUGAAAAUUUGGCGUCACUAUCUGCUGGGAAAUGUCUGUCAUAUCUAUACAGAUCAUAAAAGCUUAAAGUACAUCUUCACCCAGUCAGAAUUGAAUAUGAGGCAGAGUUGAUGGCUUGAGCUUAUUAAGGACUAUGAACUGGAAAUUCAUUAUCACCCAGGUAAAGCCAAUGUUGUGGCAGAUGCACUAAGCCGUAAGGUUUCCUGUCAUUGUCUUACGGUGAAGACCUCUGACAACACUUUAUGUCAAGAGAUGGAGAAGCUAAACCUAGGAAUGGUCCAACAAGGAACUUUGAAUCAGCUAAAGCUUGAGUCAGUCCUCUUGCAAAGGAUAAUUGAUGCCCAAAAGGAUAAUGAGGGCAUGAGACACAUUCGUGAGAAGAUAAGGGCUGGAAAAGCUAAAUGUUUCAAAGAAGAUGAUUAAGGCAUUGUAUGGUUUAAUAACCGCAUAGUGGUGCCAAAGAAUGAAGAGCUCCGCCAGCAAAUUCUUGAUGAAGCACAUCUUAGCCGCUACUCUAUUCAUCCCGGAAGCACUAAGAUGUACCAAGACUUGAAGCAACAUUACUGGUGGACAAAGAUGAAGAUCGAAAUUGCACGCUAUGUGGCGAGAUGUGACACCUGCAGACGUGUCAAAGCCAUACAUUUGAAAGCUGCCGGUCCAUUACAGUCAUUACCAAUACCGACAUGGAAAUGGGAAGACAUAAGUAUGGACUUCAUUGUGGGAUUGCCCAGGACCGCAAAAGGAUAUGACUUUAUCUGGGUGAUUGUUGAUCGACUUACAAAGAUUGCCCACUUCUUGCCUGUUAGGGUAAAGUAUACAGUGGCCACCUAUGCAGCAUUAUACAUUGCCCGUAUUCUCAGUUUGCAUGGUAUUCCGAAGACUAUAGUGUUGGAUCGUGGACCUUAGUUCGUAUCCAAAUUCUGGGAAGAACUUCAUAAAUCCCUGGGUACCAAAUUGCUCCACAGUUCGGCCUAUCACCCUCAAACAAGUGGACAGACUGAGAGGGUCAAUCAAAUACUCGAAGAUAUGCUGCGGGCAUGUGUUCUGGACUUCUCACAAAAAUGGGAUGAAUGUUUGCCCUUAGCGGAGUUUUCAUAUAAUAAUAGCUAUCAAGAAAGCAUCAAGAUGGCACCCUUUGAAGCUUUGUAUGGACGACGAUGUCGUACUCCGCUAAAUUGGUCUGAACCAGGUGAAAGGUACUUCUUUAGGCCUGACCUGGUAAAAGAAACUGAAGACAAAGUUCAGAAAAUAAUGCAUAAUAUGAAGAAAGCCCAAACUCGUCAAAAGAGUUAUGCCGACCGACGACGACAACCCUUAUGCUUUCUCGUAGGAGAUUAUGUCUACCUGAAAGUUUCACCAAUGAAGGUUAUAUCGCGUUUCGGGAUUAAAGGGAAGCUUGCACCCAGGUACAUUGGUCCCUUCCCUAUACUUGAGCAAUGUGGACCAGUGGCAUAUCGACUCCAACUACCCGAGACAUUGUCUGUCGUGCAUAAUGUGUUCCACGUGUCACAAUUGAAGAAGUGUCUUCGGAUUCCUGAUCGAAUCGUUGUAGUGACAGAUGUUGUCCUUGAGCCGGACUUAACAUAUUCUGAGCACCCUAUUCGAGUCUUGGAUCAAAAGGACAGGGUUACCCGAAGAAAAACUAUCAAGUUCUAUACGAUACAGUGGAACCAGCAUUCUGAAGAUGAGGCUACAUGGGAAACUCAAGACUUUUUAUAUAAGAAUUUCCCAGGCUUUUUAGCCUCAUGUAAUUUGUAAAAUAUAUUUAGUGUUGUAAUAAAGGAGUAAUUCCCAAACCACCCCAGCCUUGUACCAGAAAUAAGGGAAUAAAAAUGUGACACAUUUCCUUUUCCAUUACUUACCCUAGGACUUUUAAUCUCGGGACGAGAUUCUUCUAUGGGGGAAAGGAUGUAACACCCCUGGUGUUACUAUAACUAAAAUCUGAGCAUGGCAUCAUAAGCAUUGGCAUUGCAUAUGUUUGAUACACCUAGAGUGCCUUUACUAGGUAAAAAUUUCAAACAAGUUGUAUUGUUUUGGUGUUUUGCAAACAAGACCCUGGAUAGGGAACUUAACCCUAAUUAGGGAUUAAAGGGGUAAAACUUAAUCCAAGUUGAGAAAACCUAAAAGCCUUGGGGGAAUAGUCAUAAAAUGUCCCCAAAAAUAAAGUUGAAUCACAUUUAUACCCCUGGGAUGCCAGAAACCCUAAUUGGAACCCUAGAAAACCCUAAAUCCAAACCCUAGGGACCUAUGUGCAAAAUUAGUCCACUUUUGGACUAAAGUGCAAAAACCAAGUUAAAUAAGUGUCUUAAGUCAUUUGGUUCACAAAUGUGUGGAUUUGUAAGCUAAUUCUUGGAUUUUGGGCUUAUUUGCAAAAUGGACCUCAUUUGAGUUCUAUGCUAAGUCUGAAAUCAGAGAUUUGGCUCAACUUUGGAGCUUUAUAGCUUUCAAAUCAUUAAAAGUUUGCCCUAGGUCACCACAUCAAAAUUAUAGCCCAGUUAUAGGUGAACAACUUUGCUUAAGAGUGUGAGCAUUGUUGUUAAGAAAAUAUUGGAGAUAAUCAGGCCUGAAAUCAAGCUGUCAGGCUGAUUCAGUCUGAAAUUCAGAUGUUCCGUGUAACAGAGCCAACAUUGAGUAUGAAUUCAACCUUGAUCUAGUGCUCAAAUGAGUUCAAGCCCUAUAAUCGAAUUAUUGCUGGUUUAUAGCUCUACAAUUUUGCUGCAGAGCUUGGGAGGAGUUGUCAUUGGAAAUUGAGAGUAAAUCAUGCUCCAAGUUGCUCUGUCAGGUUGUCUGAUGGAGCACUCGCCAUGGUACAGUGCUACCAGGGAGAUCAGAUCGCCAGCGCAGCUGUUAUCACCGCCGGUGACCUGCCGCCGCGAUUCGUGCCAUUGCCGUCACGUUUUGUGCUCGGCUGGGUUGGAUAACGCUUCGGGUAGAAAAAUCUUCGCCGCCGUCAAGCUGGAAGCCACCCCGGUCAGCCGCGGUACUCCUCCCCUGGCUCACCGCCCGCGGGUAAAGUUGCUCACCGUCGUCGUGCCAUCGCCGUUGGCCACCGCGUGUCCUAACCGCGCCAUCGCAUCGCCGUGACUCCCUCUAAACUCCCCGUCGACCACCGGAGUUACUGCCACGGCGGUGAACACGUGUUCACUGCACCAGCAUUCUUCCUCACUUCCGACCGCCGUGUGUCUCGUCCAAAAUUCGCGGCCCCGCUCGCUCCGCCUAUAAAUUGAGCCCUCCCCUAGCUGCGUAACAUCCUCACCCACCCAGCCACCAACAAUCGUUAGCAACCGUGCCUCCGAGAGCUUGAAUUUUGGUUUCUCCCCAAUCCGGGUUUCCGCCACCGCAAAACUCACAUCACCGCGGUCAGCCCCAAUCCGGUUAGUUCAUCUCUCUCUCUCUCCCUUGUUUGAGCACUCUGGUUGCUCUGUGAUGCUUGCCGAGCCAUCAAUUCAAACUAAGAGACCACCAAUCGCUGGGAACACGACGAUCUAGCCGCCAUGCUCUCGGUCACCGUGGCCAGAGCUCCUUAGUUGGUCAUUAGUGCAAUUAAGUUAGGGGAAAUACUCUUUAGGUCACGGAUUUGGUUUAGACCGAAGACUAGCGCCGGUCUUGGUCCCCUCCGGCCGGUCUGCGUGCUCGCCGGAGUUCAUCCUCCAGGCGACGCCGUCGGGGACCUCCCACUGCGAAGAAACAGAAACCGGGGGUCUCUUUUGCAAGUUGUCAGUGGCUCUGUUAAAUAGUGAAAGAACUCGUUCGCUGUUAGACAAAAACGCAAGGGCCGUUCUGCAAAACCGCUAGCGCGGGCGCGGGCGCGCGUACGCUUCUGCGUGGAGUUAGGCCGCUUAAGCAAGUUUGAGCCCAAUACUGUUGAGUCUUUUCCUUUUUCUUUUUCAAAAUAACUUUAGAAAUCCAUGGAAAAAUGUAGAACAAUCCUGAAAUUGUGAAACCAAUUUUCCUAGAUUUCUUAUUUUCCCUAUAAUUUAAUAAAAAUAGUUUCAUGAUUUUUAGUUUAAACAGGGAAUUUUAGGGCAUUUAAAAUAGCUUAAAGAAAUAGUUCUAGAAUUUUAGAGAAUUAAUAGUAAUGCCAAAAAUGUUCAAAAUUUUUAUAUAAACUCCCCACAUUGUUUAGAAGCCUUGGGUAAUGUUUGAAUUGAUUUGGACCAUGUUUGAUAACUAGAACCCAAAACCCCCCUGCUCUAUGAACUCCUUUACAGACUCCGGAAACCCUAAGUUCUCGGAGUUCCGUGAAGGAAAGUUGUAUUCAAGACUUAGAUAAUAAAUCUUAUUAUCUUCGCACUCUCAUGAGCAUUACAUGGCAUUCAUUCUUAUAUAUGUAUAUAUAUGGUUAUGUUAGAACGUGAAGAAGAAGUGGAAGUCACUGAAGAAAGGACACCACCACCCUCGGAUUCUCAAGCAGGAAACUGCUUCUACUUUGAUAUUUGUGGACCCGAGCCAGACUCACCUACGAACGAAGGCAAGCCCCGGUGCAUGCAACCCUUUCCUUGUGUUUUUAAAUAACUUUCGCACACUUUAAGUCUAGUGAAAUGUGCAUUAGGUUUAUAGGAAUUGCUUGAAACCUUUUGAUGCAUUUCUUUCCUUGAUAUCCAUACCUUUAUAGAUACUUCUGUGAAGUAUCAAAAUAUGAUUUACAAAAAUGCUUAGCCUUGCAUAGAUCUUGUGGAUAGAGGUUAUCCUUAGCCUAGCUCGAGAAAGGAUGGCUUCUACCUGCAAGAAUAUUUUCAUUUGGAGCAAUGGUGGGAUCUUACUGCAAAGUUCCCUGUGAUGCUCUUUCAUCCUAAGGAAUAGAAACAAUCCUAAGGAUGGGAAAUACUUAAAUUGAGACUUGGGUUAGGAACAGGUGAUGUUCUACCCAGGUUGAUUAAGGAUUGAACGUGUAUGUAGGCGUGCUGAUCGAGGACCCUUUAACUGGUCACAUGCCUCGUCAUGGGUAAGCCUUGCCUCAGGCAGACUAAGGCCAGAAUAAGAUAACACGAAAUGGGCAUGGAGCGGUGGCGAGAGUAGCGUGUACCCUCCGUGGCAAGAGGCUGGACGGUGGUGUAUCUGUGCUCUCGGUUUGCGUGAACCUGAUCUGGUCUUAAGAACCCCGGUGGCGGGUUGACAUAUGGAAGGGUUAAGUGCUACAUAUGUCGUGUGAUUGGAGAUCCUCAGCUGAGUAUAAUCGAUUCGGAUCGCCGUACCUUCGCGGUUAUGAAGACUUGGUCACUUCCCUACAACCUAAGUCAGGAUGUGAACAUUAUGGAUAAAAAUGAUGUUGUAUUGAAGAGAUGAUGAAAUUAGACUAGAUGCAAACAGAGUCUAUUAAUAUUUAAUCUCGCGCUAAAAUAUUGAAAGUAAGGACUCACUUUAGUAAGCUAUUUCUGCAAAAGUAUCGAAGUUGAUUCUUGCUAAAGCCUCUCCUUGAUUCCUAUUUAUCCAGCAUACCCUUGAGAGUCUUUUCUUUAGUCGGGUAAGACUUGCUGAGUAAUUCCAUACUCAGGGUUUAUCCCUUCGUUGUUUUUAGGUGAGGAAGUAGCAGAUUUCUGUUGCUUCUGUACCAAGGUGGUUCCUAAGGAGGAGAAACAAGACUGAAGUGCAGGAGGACUUGGUCCUCCAUAUAGAACUUUUGUUUAAAACUAUCGGGAGGAGUUUUUACCUCCCUUGGUAUGUGUAAUAGUACUACUCAGCACUCGUUUUAUAUUUCUGGUCUGUAAUAAACAACUUGAACUUACUUUUUAAAUAAAUGUAAGUUAUGUAAUCGCUUCCGCAUUUCUUUAUCUCCGAUGUUCUGUAAUGUCUGCAAGACGGGUGAAACGUUCCUGGUAAGGUAAGAAAGAAGAUACCGAACUUAUCAAGUAGUUCAGGGGCACCUACAGGGUGUCUGAGGUCCGUUGGACAAGGACAACUGUAGGUGGGCCUAAUUACUUGGGAGGUUCCGUCACAGUUUAGGGUUUAGGGAUAGGAUUUAGGGUCUAGGUUUCCAUAAAAUCGUGUGCUAUAGCUCACGGGUGGCAAAAAAUGCCAUAACGGCCUCCCCGGUCUAAAACGAAGGUGGCUGGUCGGAUACAUAAAAUUGGUUGUUUGGCCACGGAAAUGUGUGAUAUAGCUCGCGGGAGGCCAAGAACCGCUUUAAGGUGCUCCGGGGACAAAAACACGUGUGGUGGAACGCGGACAUAAACAUGGUCGCUGGGCCAUGAAAACGUGUGUUAUAUCUCACGGGAGGCCAAAACAGCCUUACCAGUCUCAAUGGUCAAAUCAUGGGUGGCGGAUGGGAGGCACGAAAUCGCUGUUCGACGACAAAAACAUGUGUCACGGGAGGCCAAAAUAGCCUUACGGGCCUUGGGGGACUAAAACGUGUACUUUGGUUUGGACACUAAAAUUCUACCAUGCCUGCAAGCUUACUAUGGUUUGGAGACUCAAACUUCAUUUUACUAUGGCUUGGACACUAAAACCUUUUAGUGUCAGUGUUUAAGGUUAGGGUUUAGGGAUUGGAUUCGGGGUCUUGGUUACCAUAAAAAUGUGUGCUAUAGCUCACUUGUGGCAAAAAAUGUUGUAACGGCCUCUCCGGUCUAAAACGUAGGUGGCAGGUCGGAUACAUGAAAUUGGCUCUUUGGCCACGAAAACGUGUGCUACAGCUCAUGGGAGGCCAAGAACAACUUUAAGGUGCUCUGGGGACCAAAACACGGGUGGUGGAACACGUACAUAAAAAUGGUCGCUCGACCAUGAAAACGUGUGCUAUAGCUUAUGAGAGGCCAUAAACAGCCUUUGCAGUCUCAGUGGCCAAAUCAUGGGUGGCGGACGGGAGGCAUGAAAUCGUUGUUUGACAAUGAAAACAUGUGUCACGGGAGGCCAAAAAUAGCCUUACCGGCCUCCGGCGACCAAAAUGUGUACUAUGGUUUGGCACUAAAAUUCUACUAUGUCAGCAAAGUUGAUAAGGUUGGGAGACUCAAAUUUCAUUUUACCAUGGUUUCGACACUAAAAUCCUUUAGUGUCGAUGUUUAGGUUUAGGGUUUAGGGAUAGGAUUUAGGGUCUAGGUUUCCAUAAAAUCGUGUGCUAUAGCUCACGGGUGGCAAAAAAAUGCCAUAACGGCCUUCCCGGUCUAAAACGAAGGUGACAGGUCGGAUACAUUAAAUUGGUUGUUUGGCCACGGAAAUGUGUGAUAAAGCUCGCGGGAGGCCAAGAACCGGUUUAAGGUGCUCCGGGGACAAAAACACGUGUGGCGGAACGCGGACAUAAAAAUGGUCGCUGGGCCAUGUAAACGUGUGCUAUAGCUCACGGGAGGCCAAAACAGCCUUACCAGUCCUAAUAGUCAAAUCAUGGGUGGCGGACAGGAGGCACGAAAUCGCUGUUCGAUGACAAAAGCAUGUGUCACGGGAGGCCCUAAAACCUAAACCCUAAACCCUUAACCCUAUAGCUUGUGGGAAGCCAAGAACAACUUUAAGGUGCUCUAGGGACCAAAACGCGGGUGGUGGAACACGUACUUAAAAAUGGCCGCUCAACCAUGAAAACGUGUGCUAUAGCUUACGGGAGGCCAUAAACAGCCUUAGCAGUCUCAGUGGCCAAAUCAUGGGUGGCGGACGGGAGGCAUGAAAUCGUUGUUUGACGAUGAAAACAUGUGUCACGGGAGGCCAAAAAUAGCCUUACCGGCCUCCGGGGACCACAAUGUGUACUAUGGUUUGGACACUAAAAUUCUACUAUGUCAGCAAAGUUGAUAUGGUUAGGAGACUCAAAUUUCUUUUUACUAUGGUUUCGACACUAAAAUCCUUUAGUGUCGAUGUUUAGGUUUAGGGUUUAGGGAUAGGAUUUAGGGUCUAGGUUUCCAUAAAAUCGUGUGCUAUAGCUCACGGGUGGCAAAAAAUGCCAUAACGGCCUCCCCGGUCUAAAACGAAGGUGGCUGGUCGGAUACAUAAAAUUGGUUGUUUGGCCACGGAAAUGUGUGAUAUAGCUCGCGGGAGGCCAAGAACCGCUUUAAGGUGCUCCGGGGACAAAAACACGUGUGGUGGAACGCGGACAUAAACAUGGUCGCUGGGCCAUGAAAACGUGUGUUAUAUCUCACGGGAGGCCAAAACAGCCUUACCAGUCUCAAUGGUCAAAUCAUGGGUGGCGGAUGGGAGGCACGAAAUCGCUGUUCGACGACAAAAACAUGUGUCACGGGAGGCCAAAAUAGCCUUACGGGCCUUGGGGGACUAAAACGUGUACUUUGGUUUGGACACUAAAAUUCUACCAUGCCUGCAAGCUUACUAUGGUUUGGAGACUCAAACUUCAUUUUACUAUGGCUUGGACACUAAAACCUUUUAGUGUCAGUGUUUAAGGUUAGGGUUUAGGGAUUGGAUUCGGGGUCUUGGUUACCAUAAAAAUGUGUGCUAUAGCUCACUUGUGGCAAAAAAUGUUGUAACGGCCUCUCCGGUCUAAAACGUAGGUGGCAGGUCGGAUACAUGAAAUUGGCUCUUUGGCCACGAAAACGUGUGCUACAGCUCAUGGGAGGCCAAGAACAACUUUAAGGUGCUCUGGGGACCAAAACACGGGUGGUGGAACACGUACAUAAAAAUGGUCGCUCGACCAUGAAAACGUGUGCUAUAGCUUAUGAGAGGCCAUAAACAGCCUUUGCAGUCUCAGUGGCCAAAUCAUGGGUGGCGGACGGGAGGCAUGAAAUCGUUGUUUGACAAUGAAAACAUGUGUCACGGGAGGCCAAAAAUAGCCUUACUGGCCUCCGGCGACCAAAAUGUGUACUAUGGUUUGGCACUAAAAUUCUACUAUGUCAGCAAAGUUGAUAAGGUUGGGAGACUCAAAUUUCAUUUUACCAUGGUUUCGACACUAAAAUCCUUUAGUGUCGAUGUUUAGGUUUAGGGUUUAGGGAUAGGAUUUAGGGUCUAGGUUUCCAUAAAAUCGUGUGCUAUAGCUCACGGGUGGCAAAAAAUGCCAUAACGGCCUUCCCGGUCUAAAACGAAGGUGACAGGUCGGAUACAUUAAAUUGGUCGUUUGGCCACGGAAAUGUGUGAUAAAGCUCGCGGGAGGCCAAGAACCGGUUUAAGGUGCUCCGGGGACAAAAACACGUGUGGCGGAACGCGGACAUAAAAAUGGUCGCUGGGCCAUGUAAACGUGUGCUAUAGCUCACGGGAGGCCAAAACAGCCUUACCAGUCCUAAUAGUCAAAUCAUGGGUGGCGGACAGGAGGCACGAAAUCGCUGUUCGAUGACAAAAGCAUGUGUCACGGGAGGCCCUAAAACCUAAACCCUAAACCCUUAACCCUAUAGCUUGUGGGAAGCCAAGAACAACUUUAAGGUGCUCUAGGGACCAAAACGCGGGUGGUGGAACACGUACUUAAAAAUGGUCGCUCAACCAUGAAAACGUGUGCUAUAGCUUACGGGAGGCCAUAAACAGCCUUAGCAGUCUCAGUGGCCAAAUCAUGGGUGGCGGACGGGAGGCAUGAAAUCGUUGUUUGACGAUGAAAACAUGUGUCACGGGAGGCCAAAAAUAGCCUUACCGGCCUCCGGGGACCACAAUGUGUACUAUGGUUUGGACACUAAAAUUCUACUAUGUCAGCAAAGUUGAUAUGGUUAGGAGACUCAAAUUUCAUUUUACUAUGGUUUCGACACUAAAAUCCUUUAGUGUCGAUGUUUAGGUUUAGGGUUUAGGGAUAGGAUUUAGGGUCUAGGUUUCCAUAAAAUCGUGUGCUAUAGCUCACGGGUGGCAAAAAAUGCCAUAACGGCCUCCCCGGUCUAAAACGAAGGUGGCUGGUCGGAUACAUAAAAUUGGUUGUUUGGCCACGAAAAUGUGUGAUAAAGCUCGCGGAAGGCCAAGAACCGCUUUAAGGUGCUCCUGGGACAAAAACACGUGUGGCGGAACGCGGACAUAAAAAAGGUCGCUGGGCCAUGUAAACGUGUGUUAUAGCUCACGGGAGGCCAAAACAGCCUUACCAGUCUUAAUGGUCAAAUCAUGGGUUGCGGACGGGAGGCACGAAAUCGCUGUUCGAUGACAAAAACAUGUGUCACGAGAGGCCCUAAAACCUAAACCCUAAACCCUUAACCCUACAGCUUGUGGGAAGCCAAGAACAACUUUAAGGUGCUCUAGGGACCAAAACGCGGUUGGUGGAACACGUACUUAAAAAUGGUUGCUCGACCCUGAAAACGUGUGCUAUAGCUUACGGGAGGCCAUAAACAACCUUAGCAGUCUCAGUGGCCAAAUCAUGGGUGGCGGACGGGAGGCAUGAAAUCGUUGUUUGACGAUGAAAACAUGUGUCACGGGAGGCCAAAAAUAGCCUUACCGGCCUCCGGGGACCAAAAUGUGUACUAUGGUUUGGACACUAAAAUUCUACUAUGUCAGCAAAGUUGAUAUGGUUAGGAGACU